RNAcentral lists this long non-coding RNA (211 nucleotides) under Elaeis guineensis (African oil palm). RNAcentral describes it as "long non-coding RNA (EGUI_LNC074868)". The record is from RNAcentral. Lineage: Eukaryota; Viridiplantae; Streptophyta; Magnoliopsida; Arecales; Arecaceae.
GUGAUUAUCUUUUUCUUUUAAGAAGAAAUAAAAAGAGAAUUGAUUGUAGAAGGAUUAACAAGAAAUAGAAUAGCAAAAAAAAAUCAAAAGUAUAAAUUAAAUUAUGAAAGAAAAUAAUUCAAAAAAAUAAUCCAGGAAUUCUGAAUCCACCAUGCAAAGAGAUUUAUUUUCUUCUUUUUUUCUAUAUUAUAAUAUUUAAUUCUUGUAAUUA